This 420-nucleotide ribosomal RNA is filed under the name uncultured bacterium. RNAcentral describes it as "bacterial SSU rRNA". It matches the Rfam family "Bacterial small subunit ribosomal RNA", at positions 358 to 770 of the family's 1533-position model. The record is from RNAcentral.
GGAAUAUUGGACAAUGGGCGAAAGCCUGAUCCAGCAACGCCGCGUGGAGGAUGAAGGUCUUCGGAUUGUAAACUCCUGUCAGGUGGGACGAAAAGACUUCGGUCAAUAGCCGGAGUUCAUGACGGUACCACCAGAGGAAGCCCCGGCUAACUCCGUGCCAGCAGCCGCGGUAAUACGGAGGGGGCGAGCGUUAUUCGGAAUCAUUGGGCGUAAAGGGCGCGUAGGCGGCCUGAUAAGUCAGGGGUGAAAUCCCUCGGAUCAACCGAGGAACUGCCCUUGAAACUGUCAGGCUUGAGGCCGGGAGAGGGUAGUGGAAUUCCGAGUGUAGCGGUGAAAUGCGUAGAUAUUCGGAGGAACACCAGUGGCGAAGGCGGCUACCUGGACCGGUUCUGACGCUGAGGCGCGAAAGCGUGGGGAGCA